GAAGGAGGAGAUUGAUGAAGCUUUUCGUCGUGUGCCAGACCCACCUCCAAGCACACAAGCAACUGGUACAAAUCAAGAGGCGCAAGUGAUAUCAACAUCAAAUGUUCAGCCACCUGCCCAAACACAAGCUCUUCAGCCUGCAGCAGCUGCUCCUACUGGUGCCAUUUCCUCUGCGGGAACUUUAAUGCGAUUCCGAUUUCACUGGUAUCACAUUUUUUUUGCUGUAGGAUUACUGGCAGCUUCAGGUGCUGGAACAACUGUAUUAAUUAAGAAUGCUAUUAUCCCUAGAUUGAAGUCUUGGAUACGUAAGGUUAUAUUGGAAGAAGAAGAAGAAGAAAAAGAAGACCCUGUGAAGAAGGCUAAUGCAAAACCAAGUUUGGCGGAAGAGGCGGCAGCGGCUGCAAAGGCGGGAACAGGGAGCGCUUCCUCUCUUGGGACAACCAAGCCAACAAAUGUGGAAUNUUCAAAAAGCGAAGAGAGAAGACACUUCAAGGAAUUUAUGAAUCUUUUGGAUGUGCAAGUUCAGGAAAUGAAAUCCAUGAGCACCGCAAUACGAAAAUUGGAAGGACAAACUAAUAACCUUGGAAGAACCUCUCUUGUUGAUCAAGAAGAUUAUACACCUUCAGUGGCAAAUCAUCCUAAGCAAACCUAUGUGAAUGGGAAGGCCAAGUCAGAUUCACGCUCAGUGAGAUCUUUAUCUGCCCCCGCAU
Molecule: unclassified non-coding RNA, 710 nt
Filed under: Hevea brasiliensis (rubber tree)
Lineage: Eukaryota; Viridiplantae; Streptophyta; Magnoliopsida; Malpighiales; Euphorbiaceae
Source: RNAcentral